This 468-nucleotide ribosomal RNA is filed under the name uncultured bacterium. RNAcentral describes it as "partial 16S ribosomal RNA". It matches the Rfam family "Bacterial small subunit ribosomal RNA", at positions 28 to 507 of the family's 1533-position model. The record is from RNAcentral.
GACGAACGCUGGCGGCGUGCUUAACACAUGCAAGUCGAACGGAAAGGCCCUGCUUUUGUGGGGAGCUCGAGUGGCGAACGGGUGAGUAACACGUGAGUAACCUGCCCUUGACUGUGGGAUAACUUCAGGAAACUGGGGCUAAUACCGGAUAGGAGCUCCUGCUGCAUGGUGGGGGUGGGAAAGUUUCGGCGGUUGGGGUUGGACUCGCGGCUUAUCAGCUUGUUGGUGGGGUAGUGGCUUACCAAGGCCUUGACGGGUAGCCGGCCUGAGAGGGGGACCGGCCCAGUUGGGACUGAGAUGCGGCACAGCCUCCUACGGGAGGCAGCAGUGGGGAAUAUUGCACUAUGGGCGGAAGCCUGAUGCAGCACCGCCGCGUGCGGGAUGACGGCCUUCGGGUUGUAAUCCGCUUUCGCCUGUGACGAAGCGUGAGUGACGGUAAUGGGUAAAGAAGCACCGGCUAACUACGUG